UACGGAGGGUGCGAGCGUUGUCCGGAAUCACUGGGCGUAAAGGGCGCGUAGGCGGCGCGGAUAGUCGGCGGUGAAAGCCCGGAGCUCAACUCCGGGUCGGCCGUCGAUACUUCCGGGCUUGAGCACUGUAGAGGCAGAUGGAAUUUCGGGUGUAGCGGUGGAAUGCGUAGAGAUCCGGAAGAACACCGGUGGCGAAGGCGGUCUGCUGGGCAGUUGCUGACGCUGAUGCGCGACAGCGUGGGGAGCAAACGAGG
RNAcentral lists this ribosomal RNA (254 nucleotides) under uncultured bacterium. Its description in RNAcentral is "partial 16S ribosomal RNA". It matches the Rfam family "Bacterial small subunit ribosomal RNA", at positions 524 to 777 of the family's 1533-position model. The record is from RNAcentral.